UGGGGAAUUUUGGACAAUGGGCGAAAGCCUGAUCCAGCAAUGCCGCGUGUGUGAAGAAGGCCUUCGGGUUGUAAAGCACUUUUGUCCGGAAAGAAAUCCUUGGCUCUAAUACAGUCGGGGGAUGACGGUACCGGAAGAAUAAGCACCGGCUAACUACGUGCCAGCAGCCGCGGUAAUACGUAGGGUGCAAGCGUUAAUCGGAAUUACUGGGCGUAAAGCGUGCGCAGGCGGUUUGCUAAGACCGAUGUGAAAUCCCCGGCGUCAACCUGGGAACUGCAUUGGUGACUGGCAGGCUAGAGUAUGGCAGAGGGGGGUGAGAAUUCCACGUGUAGCAGUGAAAUGCGUAGAGAUGUGGAGGAAUACCGAUGGCGAAGGCAGCCCCUCGGCAAGUCACUGACGCUCAUGCACGAAAGCGUGGGGAGCAAACAGGAUUAGAUACCCUGGUAGUCCACGCCCUAAAA
This 461-nucleotide ribosomal RNA is filed under the name uncultured bacterium. RNAcentral's name for it is "partial 16S ribosomal RNA". It matches the Rfam family "Bacterial small subunit ribosomal RNA", at positions 355 to 807 of the family's 1533-position model. The record is from RNAcentral.